AAGUGCGCGCCGCGCGGAGGACGAAGAGGCCGCACGCACAGCCGCUGCCGGGGGUCGGGGCCAAGUGCGCACCUCGCCGAGGAAGAAGAGGCUGGCGUGCCCGGUGGCUCGGCUAGCUCCCGGGUCCCGGCCCCGCCUGGAGGGGUCUCUCUCUGUUGCCCAGGCUGGAGUACAGUGGCACAAUCUCGGCUCACUGCAGCCUCUACCUCUUAGGCUCAAGCAAUCCUCCCACUUCAGCCUCCUGCAUCGCUGGGACUACAGGAGCACACCACCAUGCCCGGCUAAGUUUUUGUAUUUUUUGUAAAGAAGCGGUUUAACCUUGUUGUCCAGGCUAGUCUUGAACUCCUAAGCUCAACUUUCCUCCCAACUUGGCCUCACAAAGUGCUGGGGUUACAGGCGUGAGCCACCACACUGGGCUAGAAUUCUGUAUUUUUAAAAUUAAUUAAUUAAUUAGUUUUUUAUAAAUAGAGAUGGGUCUCGCUGUGUUGCCCAGACUGGUCUUAAACUCCUGGGCUCAAGCAAUCCUCCCAUCUCAGCCUCCCAAAGUGGGAUUACAGGCAUGAACCACCACGCCUGGCCCAGAAUUCUGUAUUUUAAAGAAAAAAAAAGUUACUCAUAUCUGCAUGCCUACACAAUAUAUCUUUUGGUUUUCCUUAGUUUUGAACUUUUUUUUUUUUUUUGAGACAAAGUCUCACUCUGUCACCCAGGCUGGAGUGCAGUGGCAUUCUGCUCACUGCAACCUCUGCCUCCCAGGUUCAAGUGAUUCUCCUGCCUCAGCCUCCUGAGUAGCUGGGAUUGGGUCCAACCACCAUGCCCAGCUAAUUUUCUUAGUAGAGAUGGGGUUUCACCAUGUUGGCCAGGCUGGUCUUGAACUCCUGACCUCAGGUGAUUUGCCAGCCUCUGCCUCCCAAAGUGCUAGGAUUACAGGCAUGAGCCACCGCACCCGGCCAGUUUUGAACUUUUAUGAAGAGGGCAUCAUAGGAUUUGUUGUCCUUUGUUACUUGCUUUUUUCACUCAACCUAUUACUACAAUUCAUGUUUCAUAGUUAAUUCACUUUUCACUGCUGUAUACUAUUUUGUUGUGUAAAUAUACCACAGUUUGUUUAUUCAUCCUGAAGAUGGGCAUUUUUUUUUUUUUUUUUUUGAGAUGGAGUUUCUCUCUCGUGGCCCAGGCUGGAGUGCAAUAGCGCCAUCUUGGCUCACUGCAACCUCUGCCUCCCAGGUUCAAGUGAUUCUCCUGCCUCAGCCUCCUGAGUAGCUGGGAUUACAGGUAUGUGUCACCAUGCCCAGCUAAUUUUUUUUUUUUCUUUUGAGACGGAGUUUCGCUCUUGUUGCCCAGGCAGGUGUGCAAUGGCACAAUCUUGGCUCACUGCAACCUCUGCCUCCCGGGUUCAAGUGAUUCUCCUGCCUCAGCCUCCUGAGUAGCUGGGAUUAUAGGUGCCUGCCACCACUCCCGGCUUUUUGUAUUUUUAGUAGAAAUGGGGUUUCACCAUGUUUGCCAGGCUGGUCUCAAACUCCUGACCUUAGGUGAUCCACCCACCUCAGCCUCUGAAAAUGUUGGGAUUACAGGCGUGAGCCACUGCAUCCAACUAAUUUUUUAUUUUUAGUAGAGACAGGGUUUCACCAUGUUGGCCAGGUUGGUUUCUAACUCCUGACCUCAGCUGAUCUGCCUGUCUCGGCCUCCCAAAGUGCUAUUACAGGCGUGAGCCACCGUGCCCGGCCAUGGGCAUUUGGACUUCUAAUCUUUUGCUACCAUAAGCUUUAGAGCACUGAGCUAAUGUGCAAAAACAGCAAUCAUGUAGUUUUUAAAACUUAGUCUGGGGUUAAAGAAGUAUGUAAACAACUAUGUUUUCUUAAAGAUUUAUAGGAGCAUUGUGACUGGACCAAAGACAAGGAAGUUCCCAACCUCCUCGGACCCUCGCUGCUGCCCAGAUGUCUGCCAUGGGGUACUUCUUGGUCACACCCUCCUCCUCUUCCCUGCCCUUAACAUAGAAAGAGCCUAAGAUUGUACUGACUUAAAAUGGUACUUCAGAACGCUAGUACACCAUCCUCUCAGUCUUGCUGGCUUUCAGAAUAAAUCAGUAAACCUACUUUUUCUCCCACCAACGCCCCUAUCAGUUGGGAUCCUCUUACCUCGGCCUCCCAGGUAGCUGGAAGCACUCACCACCACACCCAGCUAAUUAAAAGAAAACAAUUUUUUGAGGCAGGGUCUCACUCUGUUGCCAUGCUGGAAUGCUGUGGCAUGACUCAUUGCUCACUGCAGCCUCAAACUCCUGGGCUCAAGCAAUCCUCCCACCUUAGCCUCCCAAGUAGCUAGGACUAACAGUGUGCACCACCAGACUCAGCUAAUUUCUUUUUGUUGUUGUUGUUUGAGACGGAGUCUUGCUCUGUUGCCCAGACUGGAGUGCAGUGAUGCGAUCUCGGCUCACUGCAAGCUCCGCCUCCUGAGUUCAUGCCAUUCUCCCGCCUCAGCCUCCUGAGUAGCUAGGACUACAGGCGCCUGCCACCACGCCCGGCUAAUUUUUUGUAUUUUUAGUAGAGACAGGGUUUUCACCGUGUUAGCCAGGAUGGUCUCGAUCUCCUGACCUCCUGAUCUGCCCGCCUCGGCCUCCCAAAGUGCUGGGAUUACAGGCGUGAGCCACCGCGCCCAGCCUAAUUUCUUUUUUUUAAAUUUUUAGUAGACACAAGAUCUUGCUAUGUUGCCAAGGCUGGUCUCGAACCUCUGAGCUCAGGCAGUCCUCCUGUCUCAGCCUCCCAAAGUGUUAGGAUUACAGGCAUGAACUACCAAACCCAGCUGAGUUUUUAAAAAUCUUAAUGAAUGCAUGGAUUUAAAUACGUUAGCUGUGUUUUAAUCAAUUAUAGUUAUUGAAAUUUAAAUUAUUCAUCUUUGGUUAGGGAGAACUUCUUCAAGUUGGUUGUUCUUCAGUCCUUUUGACACAAUUCCAAUAUGUGAGUCUUGGUGGCUCAUACCUGUAAUCCCAGCACUUUGGAAGGCUGAAUGGGGAAGACUGAUUGAGGCCAGGAGUUUAAGACCAGCCUGGUCAACAUGGCAAGAUCCGUAUGUCUAUUAAGAAAAAAAAAUAAAAAGCAAUUAUAGUAGGCUGUGAUAGCUUCCUUGCUGUCUGGUAUGAAAAGAUAUUUCUUUUCUUUUUUCUUUUUUUUUUUUUGAGAUGGAGUUUCACUCUCACUGCCCAGGCUGGAGUGCUAUGGUGCAGUCUCGGCUCACUGCAACCUCUGCCUCCCGGGUUCAAGCAAUUCUCCUGCCUCAGCCUCCCAAGUAGCUGGGAUUACGGGGGUGUGCCACCACGCCCAGCUAAGUUUUGUAUUUUUAGUAGAGAUGGGGUUUCCAUGUUGGUCAGGUUGGUCUCGAACUCCUGAUCUCAGGUGAUCCACCUGCCUCGGCCUCCCACAGUGCUGGGAUUACAGGCAUGAGCCACAGCACCUGGCCUGAAAAGAUAUUUCUAGACUCAUCUAGUAAAUGUUCUGCCCCAGAUCUGGAAUCAGACAGCUUUCCAAGGAGUCCUGAUUUCUCUUAGUAAGAAAUAAUAUUUAAAGACUACAGCUUGAGUACUUCGGAUACUUAUUGCUACUAAGUCAGUCAUUGUAGAUGUUUUCAGUGAAUAGUUAGUAAUUUUUUUUUUUUUGAGACAGAGUUUUGCUCUUGUUGCCCAGGCUGGAGUGCAAUGGCAUGAUCUCGGCUCACUGCAACCUCCGCCUCCCGGGUUCAAGUGAUUCUCCUGCCUCAGCCUUCCGAGUUGCUGGGAUUACAGGCAUGCGCCACCAUGCCCGGCUAAUUUUGUAUUGUUAGUAGAGACAGGGUUUCUCCAUGUUGGUCAGGCUGGUCUCCAACUCCUGACCUCAAGUGACCCGCCCACCUCGGCCUCCCAAAGUGUUGGAAUUACGGGCGUGAGCCACCAUGCCCAGCCAGUACUUUUUUUAAAAAUGGGAGUCUUGCUUUGUCAUCCAGGCUGGAUUGCAGUGGUGGUGUGAUCAUAGCCCAUUGCAGGCUCAAACUCCUAGGCUCAAGUGAUUUUCCCUCCUCAGGUCCCCCAGUAGCUGGGACUACAGGCACACACCACCAUGCUCAGCUAAUUUUUUAUUUUUUAGUAGAGAUGAGGUCUCACUAUGUUGCCCAGGCUCAUCUUGGACUCCUGGGCUCUAGCACUCCUCUUACCUUAGCCUCCCAAAGUGUUGGAAUUACAGGCAUAAGCCACUGUGCCCAGCCUAGUUAGUAAUUUUUUUUUUUUUUUUUGAGAUGGAGUCUUGCUCAUUCUCCAGGCUGGAGUGCAGUGGCACGAUCUCGACUCACUGCAACCUCUGCCUCCCAGGAUCAACCAAUUCCCCUGCCUCAGCCUGCUGAGUAGCUGGGACUAUGGGCACGCGCCACCACGCCCUGCUAAUUUUUUUGUAUUUUAGUAGAGACGGGGUUUCACCAUGUUGGCCAGGAUGGUCUCGAUCUCCUGACCUUGUCAUCUGCCUGCCUUGGCCUCCCAAAGUGCUGGGAUUACAGGCGUGAGCCACCGCGCCUGGCUGUAAUUUUUUUAAAAUACAAAAUGCAUCAGGAGUUCAUACUAAUGUUUCAUAUUCAAAUUUAGAAUUACAGGGUUUUUAAAUUUUUAUUUAUUUAUUAUUAUUAUUAUUAUUUUUGGGAUGGAGCCUCGCUUUGUUGCCCAGGCUCACUAUAACCUCUGCCUUCUGGGUUCAAGCAGUUCUCUGCCUCAGCCUCCUGAGUAGUUGGGAUUACAGGCACCUGCCACAAUGCCUGGCUAAUUUUUAUAUUUUCAGUAGAGACAGGGUUUCACCAUCUUGGCCAGGCUGGUUUUACACUCCUGACCUCGUGAUCCACCUGCCUUGGCCUCCCAAAGUGCAGGGAUUACAGGUGUGAGCCACCACGCCCAGCUAGAAUUACAGGGUUUUAACUUAACCUUAGUCACUUUACAUAUUUCUCCCAUGUCAAAAAUCUUGAUUUUCUUUUGAGGAAAUAGAAAAGUCCACUCUUAAAUUAAGUCCAUAUGGAGUCUCAAGGGACCCAAAUAAACAAAACAAUCUUAAAAAAGAGAAACAAAGGUAGAGGACUCAUACUUCCUGAUUUCAAAACUUACUACAAAGCUACAGUAAUCAAAACAGUGUGAUACUAGCAUGAAGACAGACAUAUAGGCCAGGUGUGGUGGCUCACGUCUGUAAUCCCAGCACUUUGGGAGGUGGAGGCAGGCGGAUCACCUGAGGUCGGGAGUUCAAGACCAGCCUAACUAACAUGGAGAAACCCCGUCUCUACUAAAAAUACAAAAUUAGCCGGGCAUGGUGGCCCAUGCCUGAAAUUCCAGCUACUUGGGAGGCUGAGGCAGGAGAAUCGCUUGAACCUGGGAGGUGGAGAUUACAGUGAGCCGAGAUUGAGCCAUUACACUGCAGCCUGGGCAGCAAGAGUGAAACUCUCUCCAAGAAAAAAAAAAAGACAGACAUAUGACCCAUAGUACAGAAUAGGGAGCCCAUAAAAAUAAAACCUUUCCAUAUACGGCUGAAUGAUUUUCAACAAGGGCGCCAAGACCAUUCACUGGGGGAAAGGACAAUCUUUUCAACAAAUGGUUUUGGGAAAACUGGGUAUCCACAUGCAGAAGAAUGAAGUUGACCCUUACCUAACACUAUAUACAAAAAUUAACUCAAAAUGGAUCAAAUGGCUGGACCUGGUGACUCACAUCAGUAAUUCCUGCACUUUGGGAAGCCAAGGCGGGAGGAUCACUUGAGCCCAGGAGUUUGAAACCAGCCUGGUCAACAUAGCGAGAUCCUAUCUCUACAAAAGAAAAAAAUUAGCCGGGCAUGGUGGUGCAUGCCUGUAGUCCCAGCUACUCAGGAGGUUGAGACGGAUCGCUUGAGCCCAGGAGUUCGAGUUCCCGGCAGUGAGCCGUGCCACUGUACUCCAGCCUAAGCGACAGAGUGUGACCUUGUCUCAAAAAAAUAAAGAACUGGGGCCGGGCGCGGUGGCUCACGCCUGUAAUCCCAGCACUUUGGGAGGCCAAGGCGGGCGGAUCACGAGGUCAGGAGACCGAGACCAUCCAGGCUAACACGGUGAAACCCCGUCUCUACUAAAAAUACAAAAAAAAAAAUUAGCCGGGCGCGGUGGCGGGCGCCUGUAGUCCAAACUAGUCAGGAGGCUGAGGCAGGAGAAUGGCGUGAACCCGGGAGGCGGAGCUUGCAGUGAGCCGAGAUCGCGCCACUGCACUCCAGCCUGGGUGACAGAGCGAGACUCCAUCUCAAAAAAAAAAAAAAAAAGACGAAGAGAUACCACUUCACACCCAUUAGGAUGGCUGUUAUCAGAAAAAUAAGGUAAGCUGUUGGCUGAGCAAUGUGGAGAUGUGGAGAACGUGGAGAAAUUCGAACACUUGUGAAUUGCUGGUGGGAAUGUAAAAUGGUGCAGUCGCUCUGGAAAGCAGUAGGGCGGUUCCUCAAAAAAAUUAAACCAUAAUUAACACAUGAUCCAGAAAUUUCGUAGUACUCAAAACUACUGAAAGCAGGAACUCAAAUUGAUAUCUGUACACCAGUGUUCAUAGCGGCAUUAUUCACAAUAGCCAAAAGGCGGAAACAACCCAAAUGUCCAUUGAUGCAUGACCAGCGUGAUAGUUAAUUUCGUGUGUCAACUUGAUCAGUCCAAGGAAUACCCGGAUAGCUGAUAGAAUAUUAUUUCUGGGUAUGUCUGUGAGAGUGUUUCUGGAAGAGGUUAGUAUUUCAAUCAGACUGAGUAAAAGGAUCCACGCUAUCCAACGUAGGUGGCCAUCAUCGAAUCCACUGGGGGCGCAAAUAGAACAAAAAGGUGGAGAAAAGGUGAAUUCUCUCCUUUCUUGAGCUGGGACAUCCAUCUCCUCAGACAUCAGAGCUCCUGGAGGCCUUCAGACUCCGAGACAUUACACCAUUGGCUCACCUGGUCCUCAGGUCUUUGGACUUGGAAUGAAUUACACCACUGGCUUUCCGGGUCUUCCAGCUUGCAGAUGGCAGAUUGUGGGACUUCUCAGCCUCCGUAACUUUGUCAUCCAAUUCCCAUAAUAAAUCGCCUCUUAUA
Symphalangus syndactylus (siamang) is the source of this 7050-nucleotide long non-coding RNA. RefSeq lists it as uncharacterized. The record is from RefSeq and is a predicted model, not a curated record. Lineage: Eukaryota; Metazoa; Chordata; Mammalia; Primates; Hylobatidae.